CCCGGGCUCGGGACCCGGGCUCGGGACCCGGGCUCGGGACCCGGGCUCGGGACCCGGGCUCGGGACCCGGGCUCGGGACCCGGGGCCCGCGGC
This 93-nucleotide transfer RNA is filed under the name Streptomyces sp. TS71-3. RNAcentral's name for it is "tRNA-Pro". Lineage: Bacteria; Bacillati; Actinomycetota; Actinomycetes; Kitasatosporales; Streptomycetaceae. The record is from RNAcentral.